Molecule: RNA transcript, 17050 nt
Organism: Rhineura floridana
Lineage: Eukaryota; Metazoa; Chordata; Lepidosauria; Squamata; Rhineuridae
Exons: 8
Source: RefSeq, a predicted model, not a curated record
UCCGUGUCUGAGAAGAUUGAAACCUUGUUGGGAGGGGGGCCUGGAAGGAGUGGAAAAGUGGAGAAACAUCUAGAAAGGGGUGACAUCAGAAGACUCCUGAUUGGUUGAUUAACUUUGAUCCGUUGGGAUUCUUUUCCUUAAGUAUAGAGCUUGAGACCCAUAGCCUUUGUUCCCUCAGGAAGGUUCUGAAAGGUUGCUUCUGACUGUUGCCUAUGGGAGGCAACCUAAGCAGGGUUCCAUUGCUUGUAACUGAUGCUAUUCUCUCUGAGGAGAGACGAAACUUCAACCAACUACCUCCUAUCUCUUCAUCCAGUCUGCAUGAAUAAAAGUUAUUGAUGUUUCCGGGGGCAGGGAAAAGAAAAAGCAAGCAGAGCAUAAGACAGAAGCAGAGCAAAAGCAGAGCAAAGAUCAAGCAAGGGUUGCCUUAGAAAAGUGUGGAGAAACUUCAGUUGGUGCAGAAUGCAGCUGCGGUCUGUUGACAGAAGCCUGUUCCUGUGAUUUUGGUGAUGCAAAACCACAUCAGUUUCUCUUUCCACAACUUCUGUUUGGCCAUACUGUCAGAAGAAUUUGCUGUCUCAGCUCUCAGCUAUCCUGCCUGUGGGUGUUGAUGAGACACAUGCAUCUUGUGAUUCUAUAAAUCUCCCAGAGACGUAUUCUGGCAGCCUGCUUACAGAGUGCAAGUUGAAGAUAAGAAUAACUUUAUACAAAUCCUAAAGAAAGUGGCAUACAAAUACAAUCUCUAACGCUGUGUCUGGUGUGCUAUCUCACAUGGAUCUCUUAUAGUACAAUACUUACAGGUCUACUCAGAGGUAAGUCCCACUGAGUUCAAUGGGGCUUAAUUCUAGGGAAAUGAGUAUGGGAUUGCUGCCUUAAUUUCUUGUGGCCACCCUCUCUGCAAUCCUAUACACUCUUACUUGGGUGUAAGCAUAAUUGAACAUAGUGGAGCUUAGUUCUGAGGAAACAUGCCAAGGAUUGUUGUUCAGUCAUUCUUUCCUGCACAGCCAGAUUUAUCCCUGUGUCCAGAACGCUCCAAUGGAAUAACUGUAGAAAUAAAUCUGGCAAUUUUGUUUCCAUUUAAAACACACACACACACACAUUUCUCUUCCGCAUACUUUUCUGCUCUUCCAACUGGACAGAUAAGUUUCAAUUUUGGUGUAUAUCGAAAUAAAUUGUCUCAAAUUCUGCACAUAAAACUUUUUCUACUGAUAUUCCAUGGCAUGAUCUACUUUUUACAUUGAUUAAAUUAUACCCUGGACUGUUUUUACAAUUAUAUAUGGUAUAUAUGGCUAUUUUUCUCUAUUUCUUUUCACCUAAUUUAGCACAAGAGUUUUGUCUCAGUAUUACAUACAUACAUUGCGCAUUGCAUCCCCCUUGAUUUUGGGGAUUGAAAUUCACAAUAUUAUGCCAUAAAUUUAAAAACGUAUUUACCGUCACCAACAUUUGCUAACAGUAUUUCCUUAGCUUUCUCCUUGAAUAGUUUAAACAAUGUUAACAAUGAGGCGAGUUGUUUUGGCAGUAUACUUACUGUAGCUAUAAAGGACUAAUAAGAAAGCCAUUGGAAGUAAGCCCCAUUUAAUGGGGUUUCCUUCUGAGUAGACAUGCAUAGGAUUGUGCUGCUAGCUUUCAAUGCUGAUCAACUAACUGGGACUUUCAGAAAUAGUUUUUCAGAGUCAGCCAUUUAAUAUGUUAUACAGACAAUACCAAACAGCUACAACAAAAAAGACAAGAUAAGAAAAUAUAGCAUCCCGUUUCUCACUGAGAAAAAGGAACAUUUCUGACGAAUUGGCUUCCCCAUCUCCUACUUAAGACAAUUUCUGAAUAAUAUCUGUUCUUAAACCAUUUAUAUAUUAUCGCCCAAAAGGUUCCUGGGGCAGAAAAAUAAAUAUGCCCCAAAUCUUCUAGAGACAGUGUGAUUAACACUGAGUUGGUUAGGAAAAGAAUGUUCCCAGCUGACCACUGGAGCAGAACAUGGGUCAAAGUUACCUGCUCUGCAACUUGACACCAAAACACCUGGAGAACCACUUCACACACAAAUUUCAAGUCUGUAGCGCAAUAAUAGAGCAAAUGAUUUGUAGGCAAAAUGGCCCAGAUUCAAGUCCUGGCACUGGGAAAGAUUCCUGCCUGAAAUCCUGGAGCCACUACCAUUCAGUAGCUAGUUGCACCGAUCAUCUGAUCUGUACAAGGCAGUUUCCUAUAUUUUCAUAUGACUUCAUUUAUUUCAAUAAGCAGUUGAAAGUGUAAAGCAUUUGCUACUGAAAUGUACUUCGCCCAGAUGUAUGGGCUGUAUCCAGCAUUAGUCAUGCUGAAAUUAAUAGAUAUGAUUAAAUUAGGUCCCUUAAUUUUAAUGGGUCUCCUCUGAGUAUAACUUAGUUGGAUACAACCCUGUAUUUCUAACACUUCAGUAGUGCAAUUGACUGAGAACAGCUGGGCACAUUAUACCAUUAUUUCCCACUCCAAUGUCACCCCUCUGGGCAAUGCUGGGUAGGAAGUAACUAAUGCCAGAUCCACACUGUACAUUUAAAGCAUAUGGCUUUACCCAAAGAAUCCUGGGAACUGUAGUUUGCCUCUCACAGAGCUACAAUUCCCAGCACCCUUAACAAAACACAGUUUCCAGGAUUCUUUUGAGGAAGCCAUGUGAUUUAAAUGUGCUUUAAAGGUAUAGUGUAAAUGUGAUUUUAGCCAUUCUCCCUCAUGCAAUUCUCAGUUCCAGAUGUUAGUGCUCUGGUCAGUAAUUCUGAACAUGUGGAAGUGGCAACCUUGUUAAACAGGUACAUAUAAACCAGGCCUCCACUGUGGGAAGGAUGCUCCACUGCUGUACAGACAACACAUAAAAAUUAAAGAAAAAGAGAAAUUCAUGUCAGCUCGUCUGAGGUUGAGAAAGAAGCCAUUACUUUUACUUUUACUUACAGCGGUGGGAUAGUUAUCAUAAUCACAGCAGAGGCAGGUGACUUGAGAAAGUGGAUUAAUUUUACAGCCUCCAGAGACUUAAGUUGCAGUAGACACAUUCUGCAGCAUUUGAUGAGCUCACCUUGGCUAUAUAGCAGCUUAACUAGCAAAUCAUAAUUUAAAAAAUCAAUGUAGAGAAUGCCUUAUCUUCUGCAUGUUGGUAUUUAAUUUUUAGAAAGAAAUCUGCUUGUAGAAAGAAAUCCACAGCAAGAAGCUGAAGUGAGAGAGAUGUCUAAGCAACAUAUUUUAAUUAUCCAUAAUAUGCAAUACAAAAUGGUGUGUAAAUAUUGACGAAUAAUUUUCACACCACAGCUGAGUAACAGAAAUGCAUGGUGAAUCAUUGUGGUUAUUCCUGCCUCACUGGUAAUCUAGAGGCAUGUACAAGAGAUGACUCAUCCAAGGUCAGAAAGAAAUGUUACUGUCAGGAUGAUGUUCAAAGGGAAGUGUUGAAUUGGGAUUUAGGAAUCCCAAUACACGUAGGAAGAUUUGGCACACAUUGCAGUAUUCCCAAUCCCAUAAAUUGUUAUUGGAAAUGGGGCCUAUUCAGUCUGAACCCCUUUUACCCACUAUUUAUCCCAGAAGGAAGUCACUAAAUGUAGAGCAAACCUCCCUUGUGGAACUGAAGGAGGAUACUAGAACUAUUCACCAGCAGGCUCUCAGGAGGGGGAGCAGGAAGUCCUUUGACUUUUCCUAAGAACAUCCCAAUUCAAAACCCUCACAUGUCUAUUACAAAAUCUAUUAUUCCCCUGCAGGGACACAAGAAUCUCAAAAGUAAAUUGUCACGCCUCAACAAAUGGGGAAAGGAAACCUUCAUGAGAGUUUGAAAUCAAAUUAGUCUUUUGUAACUCACCCUAUAAAGGAAGUUAGAUAUAGGUUUUAGAGUUCAGAUGAAAAGAAAGAGUAUCCAUGAGGAUCUCCCUUUUAUCCACUUAGGCUUGUGAGAUGGCUCCUAAUUCUAUGCUGUACUGCAUUUGAAUUGUAUUGUAUAUUGUUUUGUGAUUUAUUUAUUUCUUGUAUUUUUUUGAGCUUUGCUUGGUAUAUUGGUUUGGUUUUUCUUUGAACUGUGAUCUUUAUUCUGUACAUGUUUUUGAGUGUUUUUUUAAGUCACUUUGAGUUUCAUUUUGAAAAAAAGUGGAUGAUGAUGAUGAUGAUGAUGUUAGAAUUCAGUGUUUCCAUAAAUUUAAAAAGCCACUUGACAAUUUAUUACUGAUGGUUGGAAAUCAGGAACUUCAUUGCAAUUUCAUACUUUGGCCAGUGGAGACUGGUUCAUUAAGGUGAAUGAAUGGGGCACUGCUCCACCAACCUCAGUCUGCCCCCAGCCAGCCCCUCUACCUGCCAGCUUCCUUAUAACCAGUCAAAGAGGUAUUCUUCAAGUACUUGAAAGGUUGUCACACAGAGGAGGACUAGGAUCUCUUCCCGGUCAUCCCAGAGUGCGGGGCAUGGAAUAAUGAACUCAACUUAUAGGAAGCCAGAUUUUACCUGAACAUAAGGAAAAACCUCUUAACUUUUAGAGCAGUAUGACAAUGGAAUCAGUUACCUCGGGAGGUGGUGGGCUCUCCAGCGCUGGAGGUGGUUGAGAGACUGCUGGACAGCCACCUAUCUAGUAUGCUUUUCGUUGGAUUUCUGCAUUGAGCAGGUGGUUGGACACAAUGGCCUUAUAGGCCUCUUCCAACUCUACUAUUCUAUUAUUCUAUUUUCCUGUAAAUGGAGCAUGUUCAAACACACCAGAUCAUCUGCUCAAUUGAUUACUGGAAAGCCUUUGGACUGCAGCUUGGAUAUUCCAUAUCUGGACAAUUCUGCAUGUUCUCCCCCAUUCUGAAUGUUCUCCCCCUCAUUCACACAAAUAUGCACGCUCACACAUUUUCAUCAGUGGAAAGAGAUCUGCAACCAAAGAGGUGAAACUUAUUCCUGUGAUUUUAGCCAGCCAAAUUUCUGAGAUAAAGAUAAACCUAGUCUGCCUGGGUUUCUGACAGAAAACCUCAGGCUUUUUGUAUAUACAUAAUUAGUAGGGCUGUCACCCAAUGAAAGAAAACGGUUUUUGGGAAUAAAAAAAGGAUAGGACACAGAAAAAUCCAUAAAAAGGGUCUGGCAGAAAAAGACUUUGCUCUGCUUACCCUAAUCACCCUGAAUAGCCUCUUCUAAAGGCUGGGUCAGAGGAUCUAGCUGAAUUAGGCAUACUAUGGUGCAAGGGAAUGAUGGUGUAAUUGGGAAACCCUGAAAAUCACAUGGAGGCACCUUCCACAAGCAAAGCCUCCAUUCAUGGAAGGUGCUUCCAUCUAAUUCUGGUGAACCCACUUCUGCCUCAGCUCCCAUGCCCACCACAUUCAGCAGGGUCCUCAGAUGGUCAGGGGAGACUUUCUGAGGGGCUUGGGGGCUGCCAGAGGGAGAAAGUGGUGGGAAAAAUAGCUUCCAUCAGCCACUUUCCAUGAGCUUUGCUCUAGAUCCAACCCAAUAGUUCUGAACAAAAACGUUUGGUUUCAGGAGAUAUCAGAGAAGGUAUCUUAGAAGAGGCUUCAUUAUGCAUUCUCUCACAUGCAGGAUGGCAUGCCUCUUUUAAGACAGUGCUUUACUUUUACAGUAUUUGUAUUCAAAAUAAUUUAAACCAUUUAUAAUCUGCUGACCAAUUAAUCAGAGACACUAUUAAAGUUAAUUUUAAAAAGAUAAAUAAUUUAAUUUAACUGAUUAAUCAACUAAACAUUGCAGCCCUAACGAUUAGUACUACCACUAAAACUAAUUGCUGAUUAAAGAUGUUUUAGUUGUGUAAUCACUAGGUUUUAAAUCUAUGAAAUACACAGAGCUUGGAAGUAACUCGUUAUUUUUAACGAGUUACUUUUAAUUUGUUACAAUUUUAAAUAACGAGUGGGUAAUUCCAUUACAUUUGGCAAGUAACGGAAUGAAUAGUAAUUUCCCUACUUUUCAGCUUCAACUUUAACGUUUCCACGUUAGGUUGGACGUUACUUGGGGGCGGGAACAAGGGGAAGUCAGCUCCUGGCUGUGAUUGGUUAACACAAGACAUGUGCCUCACACUGAUUGGACCUCUGCGCAGACUGUCUCUUCCCUUGUGAUCUGUGUUAGGAGGCACAUAGAAGAGAUGAAUAGGCAGGGGGAGCCUCCUAGCGUCUGACUCUGAGAGGAAAAAAUGGACGCCGGAGGAAAAAGCCAGGGCAAGGAAGGCAGAAUGGCGAAGAGCUGUGGAGAGACGCCUGUUGCAGGUUUUGCUGCUGAGAGCAGCAGUCAGUUAGUGCGGCCACUUGAGUCACAGCUUGUUGAUCCUGAGGAGGCAAAACUAGAAAGUGAGGUUCAGAAAGGAGGCCCUGUGCACGAGGAGGAGGAGGGCAUGAAGCAGUGCCAGUUGCCCACAGCCACAUCUGCAGAACAGCAAGUACCAUGGUUUGGCUUUGAGAAAGCUUGUACAUUUGUGAGCCAGAGUGGGGAAAAUGUUGUUGUACGAUGCAAUUACUGCCUUCGAAGGAUCAAAAAUCUGAGAUCAGCUGUUUCCCCCUCAUCCAAUGUGAAGAAACAUUUUGAGAGGGCACACCCUGAGAAGCUGAGAGCAAUUGAAGAAGCAAUAAAGGCAAGGAGACGUGGCCUUCCUGAACCAAUGCAUGACACCCCUCCUCCCAAAAUGCUGAAGCAGCAGCAGACAACCCUUGAGAGGUGGGGAUCUGGCAGGGAUCUACUUCUUCUGGCAGCCUGCGUACACCCUCGCUUCAAACUAGAUCGGCUGGAAUCGUGUCAGGCCACCACCCAUACCAACAAAUACACAAUGGAAGCCUUGUUGAAAGCUGAAAUAUGGGUGUACUUAAUGAGGACAGUGAUCAGUCUUCAGAUAAAGACCAGGAAGGAGAUGACUUAGAAGAUGACUUCUUUAACUUUCUGCCCCAGGGCAAGAAGUCAGCAGUGGACACUGCUGAGGAGGAACUGGUGAGGUACCUGAGGUCUCCCAGCAGGGAAGUGUCAUCACUCCAUGGCUUUCCACGUGUGCUGCGGUGUUUUUUGCAGCACAACACAGGCAUGCCUUCAAGCGCCGCAGUAGAACGCCUGUUCAGUACUGGUGGCAACGUAAUGACUGUAAAAAGACAUUCCUUGUCUGACAUGCUCUUUGAGCAUCUUGUUCUUUUGAGACAUAACAGAAACAUAUUAUAAAAGCAUUUCAAGUGUAAAAUUUGAUUUCAAGAGUUGGGGUAUCUUCAUUGCUUGGGGGGAUGUGAGAUUCUGUUAUGCCAUUAUGUUAAUCUUAUGGAAAUUUUUUUUUAUUCUACUACCCCGUGUGUGUGUGUGUGUUUAUUUUUAAUAUUGUUUUAGGCUUCUUAGAUGUGCAGCAGCCAAGGCCAGCACCUUGUAGGAGUUUUUUAAAAAAAGUAACUGAAAUGUAAUUGUAGUGAUUACUUCUGAGAAAAAGUAAAGUAAUCAGUUACUUUCAGAGCAAUUGUGAUCGUAACGGCAAUUACUACUUUUUUGGGCCAUGUAAUUGUAACUGUAAUUUAUUACUUUUUAAAAGUAAUCUUCCAAGCUCUGGAAAUACAAAAAAGAUUAAAUAUAACAAAACCUUAACAUACUCAUUUUGGGAAGAUCUUAAAGGAAAUGUGAUAACAAUUGCCUUUUCCCCUUUCGGUAGCAGAUGCCUCCACUGGAUCAAUGCCCCCCCCUUUAAAUGAAAUAACAUGAACAAAAGGGCACCUUUAGAUCCAGGCAGUAGUAAUAGCAGUAAUGAACAAUUGUUAGAAGGCCAUCUUUAAUGCUUUCAAUGUCAUUCUAUAACACGCCAAGCUUAAAAUAGACUCAAAUUAAGUGUGUCUGUCCGUCUGUCCCACCAAUUAAAAUAUGUACCCUGCAACAAAACUAUCAGUUCUCUCAACUGAAGCUUGCAUUUCUAUAGCUCUAUGUAUAAAGUAAACUAUCCUUAUAAUCUUUAUUUCCAUAAAUGAUCCAAUAGAUCUACAACAGGUCUACUGUUCAAUGCACUUUAUAGAUUAGGAGCUUUGCUAAAAUGAAAGACUGUGGUUGGCCCAAUAGAUUUAGUGCAGCCAGAGAGAGGUGAACCCAUUUCCCAGGCUAAACCCAAGCAAUCUAAAAUGCAAUCCUAUAAUGCUUAUUCAAAAGAAAAUCCCUACUGAAUUCAAUGGAGUUUACUCCCAGCCCCAGGUAAAUGGGAUUAGGAAUGCAGCCUUAAUUAGACUCUCCCAUAUCAUUUAAGAAUGUACCCUAAGCAUUGAGCAGGCUGUUAUUUAUAUCGGCAGAAUUUAGCACUUUUUGGAAAUCUAUGAAUCUUGUAUAACACUCUGAGAGUCAGCAUGAAAAAUACUUGAUUUUGCAGUAUCUUGAUAUCUGUGAUGUGACAUGUUCAUAAUCUUGUUGUACUGCAGACACCUCCUGGCUACUAUUGCAUCUUUUAGUGUGACAAACUUCUGAUUCUUUUUUCCAAUGUAUUAUUUUGCACAUUGCUAACCCACCUUGGUAGUAACAUGUAAUUUUCUACUAAUCGCUAUUCUCCUACCCCUUUUACUUUUUCUUCUGGAUUGGUUUUUCUUUUGUUCCCUUACAGUCACAAUAUUUGUCCCUGCCAUUAGAUUUUUGAAAUGGUGUUUUAGACUCCUUGUACAGUGCUAGCUUGUGUUUUGCACAACAUAUUUGUUUGCUUUUUUCAUAAUUUAUUUUAUGAUUUUAUUUCAUAAUUUAGUUUAUGAUUAUCAUUUAAUUAUGCACAAUUAUUUUGGACAGGAAAUGUACAUCUUGAAAGGUCUAAAAAGAUCUAAUCAACUUAGCACCUUAUCCAACUCUUAAUUAUGUUUCUUUACAUCCAUGCAUGCCCAACAAAUUAUUUAUGAUCAAAAGAGUGUUCCAAGCCAGGAGUGAGAUUACAGAGCAACAAAAAUACAUGCCACAAUCAAUGUAUGGGGAAUGUAUUACAACAGAAGACAGGAUUAAAACCUCACCAACAUCACCAAGCAGAUUUACCUGAGGAAGGGAAAGUUACUUUCAGCCAGAAAUAUAGCAAUCAGUUAGAGCUCAAGUAUAAAAGUAUACCCAAUUUAAGAGCAUUGAAUACAUUACUGGAGCAGUGUGGGAGUCAGUUCCAUAUACCUAGAUUUCAUGUUGCUUUGGGAAUGGGGGCGGGAACAAUGUGACUUGGGCAAAUUAAGUGGUUCCUUCCUGUACCAUCAUCAUUCAUCCUUUGGGAAGAAACCAUGUCAUUUGCCUGAGCCAUAUGGUUCUUCCUCACUAAUUGUAGUAAAGUAAUAUGGGGUCCAACCAUGUGUGUAACUUUUUUUUCAUGUUGUGAGCCGCCUUGAGCAUAGAUUGCUAUGGAAAGGCGGCAUACAAAUAAACAGUGAUGAUGAUGUUGAAGCUGCUCCAGUAACAUGAGAUUUGCCCAUAGUAUCUCAUCUCCUGAUGUCAUUUUUCAAUUCUCAUGUUUCAGACAAAGGACAUUCUUAAACCACGGGGGGACAAACCCUUAUUGCUCUAAGCUUACUUAAGCACCAAAUCUGUUGCUCAGUAAAAUCUGCCUUUAUAAGAAGCUGCCUUUUAAAGCUAAUGAUCCAUCUAGCCCAAUGAUAUCAGCCCCAACUGACUGCAGCUUGCCAGGGUGCCUGGCAAAGGUCCCAGCCACGUUAGUUAGAUUUCUUUAAGUGAAGCAAAGCAGGUGCACUCCCACUGGGCAAUGCCCAUUCUCUCGCAAAUUACAUUCUUUCUUUGAGGGCUGAAAAUAAAGUGAGGGUCAAAAAAAGACGACAAAUGAAUUGAAGCCAUGAAGGAUGAAGAACUGGUGCAGCAGUGUCUUUGAUAUGGUGGAACAGUGGCUAUGAAAAUGAAUUUUUUUGAAGAAAAGUUGGCACUAAGCUGGCUACUUAAUUUGGCAAGAAGGGACAUGUAAUGCUACUCUACACAAGCAAACUCUUGAGCAGAGGUGGGUCACACAGGACAUGAGAGGCUACGAGUCAGCUAGCAUUGCUUCAGAUAAGCUCUUGCACUGGAGUAUUACUGGGAAAAAAUGUUGGUAUAAAUGAAUGAAAUGGAGAGCGCCACACCUAGAGGACAGUAUCAGCACACACAACCAAAGAGAUUUAUGGGAACUCAUAUUAAGAUUUUACAUGUCCUGGGUUUGAGGAGGGGAAGAGGAUAUCAUUCAUUUCCUUGUUCUAAUUCAUUUAAAUGAAUGCAAAAUUUAAAUUGCCUAGUAAAUAACUGUGAGGGAGGGGGAAAAUGUGAAGCGAAAGCAUAUAACAACAACUUGUAAUACUUAUGCAAAUGAGGAAACCAUUUUUUGGGUAAGUUCUCAUAGUAAUUUACAGUUGGAUGCUUAACAUACAGUAGGGUCCAUGCAUAAGAAAUGGCCUGCUGGAUCAGGCUAAAGGCCUAUUUAACCCAGCAUCCUGUUGUCACAGUGGCAAACUAGGUGUCUAUGGGAAACCCACAAGCAGACUUUGAGUGCAACAGCACUCUCCUUGCUUAUAACUCCCAGCAACUGGUAUUCAAUGCUCAGGACAGAAAUGAUUGCAGCCCUAAAGGUAAAGGUGUCCCCGCACUUAUAGUGCGAGUCGUUUCCGACUCUUAGGGUGCUGUCUUGCAACGUUUACUAGGCAGACCAUUUUAUAUGGGGUGGGAAUGCCAGUUCCUUCCCCGGUCUUUCUUUACCCCCCAGCAUAUGCCGGGUACUCAUUUUACUGACCACAGAUGGAUGGAAGGCUGAGUGGACCUCGACCCCUUUUACCGGAGAUUCGACUUCCUCCUUCCGUUGGAAUCGAACUCCAGCCGUGAGCAGAGCUUUGGCUGCAUUACUGCCGCUUACCUCUCUGUGCCACAGAGGGCAGCCCUAUUUGGGUGUUAAAUUGCUGCUAAGAGAUCUAGCAAUACUUGAUUGCUCUUCCCCCCGGACAAAAUAUCUCACUGUGGGCAGUUCUGAAGGAAAUUGCAAUUGCUUCUGUUCUGAAGGAAUUGGAUACAGUGUGCUUUUCAAAGAAAGCAUCUUCUAUCCUCCAAAUCCCCACAUAUUUCCUAAAUUAAUACUACGGAAUAAUAGAACAGCCAGCCACUAUUUUUCUUCUUAGUCUGAACCAUGAGGAGCAGUAUUCAUUUAAUCACCACUAUAGUAAAAUAUGAACAUUACAGAACCUGGGAAUAAACUGCCAUUGCUUGAAUGGGAAGUGUGAAUGGAUCCUAUUGUCUAUCACAGCAUGGUCUCAGCCCUAUUUGUUCCCAUAGAUGCUGUCAUGACAAUGCCAAAAGAAUGGCCUCAAAAAUAUUUAUUUCACUGGGCAGGCAACAAAUCUCUCACAGCUAGCUAUCAUUAAUUGCCUUGGUUUAAAAGAGAAAGUGCAAACAUUUAAAUAAGGAUCUCAUCUUGUUACGGUGGCAUUAUUUUUAUCUGUAUUUACUCAAAGGUUGUCACUCUGGGGUCCUUCUGGGAGGAAGGGCAGGAUAUAAAUUUAAUAAAUAAUAAAAUAAGUUCUACUAUGUUCAGUAAAGUUUCAAUACGACUGCAGUAGUAAUGAUAGGAACAGUAUUUUUCUAAUAUUUUAGAAAUAAUAUUUUUGAGUUUCAGCUAGGAAUGAAAUGUUGCAGUAGGCAUAAAAGAAUGAUACACAAAUCAGAACUCAAGACUGAAUGGUCCAUACUGGCUCAUAGUCCAGAAAAUUAAUUUUAUUUUGUUUUUGCUUAGUUUUUAGGGAUCUUAUUGAACACUAUUGUACACACUUAUUAGUCUGUAAAACAGUGUAGAGAUUUGUAUUAUAUUAAGCAGUAUAUGUUUUUAGAUAAAUAAAUAAAUACUGAAGUAAAUAGAAGGUAGAAUGCACCGGGCAAUAUAGAUUUAGCGGGAGGUUGAUCCAGGUUAAUACGCAUAAAUUGUAUUUGAAACACAGUAAUUAGAUUGAGAAUAUACAAGGAAAAGCCCUAAAAUGGGGAAAUAGCUGCGUUUACGGGGUUGAGCUGAUCAUAAAGUAGGUGCUGUUGGAAUUGAGGCACUAAUUGCACUAACUAGUGAAAAUGGUCUUAGCAACAGCAUUUUCAGCGGCUAUAAGUGGGCCAAGUUGGGAUUUACCAAAGCUAAAAAUGUGGAGGCUGCAGGAGUCUGAAAGUGACUGAGAAGAGAGUUGUGAAGAGAGAGAACUGUGUGAGUUGAGGGGGAUGUAUCUUAUGCAAGAAUCAGCUAGAAGUGCAUUGGAAUUUUAAAAAACAGAAUGCAGAAAACAGAACUUCAUUUGCGCCAUAGUGCGAUUAGCAGUAAACAUAUAAAAGGGUGCAACUAUAUAGGCUCUUGGAUUUCCUAUCCCAGUACACCAAGGGAGAUUAGCCUUUGCCAACCUGGUGACCUCCAGAUGUUUUGAACUACACUUCCCAUCAGCCCCAGACCGCAUGGGCAAUAGAUCACUGAGGUGAUAGGAGUUUGUGUUUCUUUUCUUUACAAUGAAAACAAGGAGAUGAGGGGAAAUGAGGGAGAAAACAGGCUGCUGAGAAGAUACACUAGAUUCAGCUUCCUUUUCAUGUUGCAUUCACAACAGUUAUUAUAGGCUUGCUCAAAGUGUUCUCUCUAGGAAGAUGGUUAUUUAUCAUUUUAUGAAGAGGGUUAACAGUUUCAUGAGUUACAUCAUUACUGCUCCCGCUUCACAGGCGAAGAGCUUAAGAUUGAGAGGUAAUUAAUAAAGACAAGAGCUGUACAGUGAACUCACAGCUGAAGAGAGAAUAUAGUUUCCUAUAUCUAGUGUAUCCAAACCAUCACAUCAGUCUCUUGAAGCUUAAAAAGGGCAUAAUACUGACCUUUCUACUUCUCCACCCCAUGUCCCACCCUUAUUUACAACACUGCAUUGUACAAAUUUAUAUUGGUCAAUUAAUCACACUUUCAAAAAACACAGUUAGUGAAUCUCCCUUCACACUUACUCCCACCGUGCUUUAAAUACUUAAUUUUUUAAACAAUCUUUCAUAUAUGUGUAUGUAUGUAUUUGCUAUGACAGCAUGAUUUCUUUCUCACAAAAGCAUUUUCUCAAAAUAGUUUCUCACAGGAAUUUUAUAAACUUAUUUCACAGAAUGUAAACUAGCCUCAAUUUCGAUUCUCUCAGUUUCUCAUUUUUCCACUCUUAAAUUCGGUUCUCCACAUUUCUGCAGCAGUGUACGGUGUUUUUUUUAAGAAAAAGUGCUCAUGAAAAUUCUUCAUAAUUUUAGUGAGAUUUUUCCUAAUACAUUUUUGUAUGCAGUUUUGACUAAUGUACACAUUUUUGCAAGCAGUUUGUCCAAAUAUGCAUUUUGUAUGUUAUUUUCACCAAUAUAUUCAUUUUGUUCACACUUUCCCCUAAUAUAUGCAUUUUUGUAAACAUCUGUUAGAGGACAAAAUCUGGAUAAGUGUGAAUUUCGAAGGAUGGGUGUGUUCUGGUCCUCAUAUUGAUUUGGAAAGCAUAAAUUUGAUAAAUUUGGCUUUAAAUGCAAACUGAAUUGAAUUCCUCCCCCCAUCCCUACUUAUAAGGCUUUCUAAGACGUACAUUCCUGUUCUUUAUCCACUUGAAACUCAAUUCUCUAGUUACAUUUUUUUUUACUACAAUGAUCUAGGAGGAUGUUUUAAGAAAAAAAUGUCAUAUGCUUUGCUUAGUAGCAAAGGAUCAAACAAGGUACAGUUGUGUUUGAUUACUGUGCUAUACGGCUGGUCUCAAAUGGUUUUUAUGUUCCCUUCAUUUUAAAAAAAGAAGCUCUUAGCCCAAUUAGACAGUGACAAUGCCUGGACCUCCUCCCCCACACCCUUACCCUGAAAGCUAUGCAGAGGACCAAAUGACAAUAAUGAAGAGUCUUAUGCAAUUAAGGCACAGUAAAGUUUUGUUCCCUAAUUGCAAAAACCACAUCCACUUCCUGACACAACACUCCCAUCAAAUGGAUGUACAGUUCCCUUCAUAAAAAGAUGUGACGGAAUAAGGCACAGCUGCCUAAUUUUUCCAUGAGACAGUGGACGCUUUGCAUCCUGCUGACAAAUACUCUUCUUCCCCAUUCUCUACCCACCCUCAUAGUACGGCAACAAUGAGCUUUUAUGCAGAAAAGCACAUUCCUUGUCAAUCUCUCAGUACAAAAAAAAAAGGUGCUUACCUUCUACAGGCUUAGAAAGCUAUUUUCCAGUGUGAUAAUAAUGAAGAUGCUUUAUUACUUCACUUCAGCAUCUCCCUUCUAUAGCAGCUUACUAGGAAUACAGAUCUCCACCAUUUCUCUGGUCACAUGACUAGUACUUCUAAAUAAGGAUGAUCACCUGCCUUUGGAUACUGUGCUAUAUAUAAUAGAAGUAACAGCAGCUCUGAGAGGCACUGGAAUUUAUCUGCAAAUUAUGAUAAUUUCAUGGCCCCUGCAGAGUUGUGUCAGACUAAGAAAUAUAUAUAUAGUUCUUCCUUUCCAGAGAUAAGGAAAAAAUUUACAGUGAGGAAAAGGCAAAAUAAAUGAACUUGUAAUCGACUUAAACGUCCAAAGCCAAUUUUUCAAAGUUGCAUGAGGCAUAAAUAUUAUGACAUAUUUCAGUUAAAACAUUUUAGAAGUCAAACUGUGGUUCAGAGUUUGAGCAACAAAGAAGAUGGAAGGUCUCUCUACGCAUGUAGAGAGUGGGGAAUGGAAUCUGAGAGAUUUUAUGGAAAGUUCUGUGAAGUGGGUUUGGGGUAAAAAUCAAACUAUCAAAAUACUAUACUAUAUUAUAAUGGCUCAUACUAUACUAUAAUGGCUAUACUAUAAUGGGAAGCAGGGAGGAGAAUACAAAUGUACCCACUAUCAGUAGCCAUCUUGUAUGGCUCAGGGCCACAAUAUCUUUUGCAGUGCCUCUCCCAAUAUAAAUCUACCCAGACCCAUCAGCCUUUAUCUGACCUCCUCCAGGUGUCCUCUCUGAGGGAGAUUCAGACGGCGGUAAUAAGGAAGAGGGCCUUUUCAGCUCUGGCUGAAUGCUUCUGGAAUGCCUUCCCCAGUGAGAUCCGCCUAGCACCAUCAUUAACAUCCUUUUGACACCAGAUAAAACCCUUUUUCUUCUCCUAGACGUUUGACAGCUAUGAUAAGUGUUCUGGUUACUGCCAACUGUUUUCUGUUGCUGAAGGUUUGCUGGGUCUGUUUAUAGGUGAUUGCAAUGGUUUUAUUGAAUUGUAUUCUUUUUGUAUUUAUUUAUUUAUUUAUUUUAUUUAUAUCCUGCCCUUUCUCCCAGUAGGAGCCCAGGGCGGCAAACAAAAGCACUAAAAACACUUUAAAACAUCGUAAAAACAGAAUUCAAAAUAUAUUAAAGCACAACAACAAUUAAAAACGUAUUAAAACAAAACUCUUUAAAAACAUUUUUUUAAAAGGUUUAAAAUAUAUAUUAAAAAGCAAUUCCAACACAGAUGCAGACUGGGAUAAGGUCUCUACUUAAAAGGCUUGUUGAAAGAGGAAGGUCUUUAGCAGGCACUGAAAAGUUAACAGAGAUGGUGCCUGUCUAAUAUUUAAGGGGAGGGAAUUCCAAAGGGUAGGUAUCACUACAUUAAAGGUCCAUUUCCUAUGUUGCGCGAAACAGACCUCCUGAUUAGAUAUAUCUGCAGGAGGCCCUCACCUGCAGACAGCAGUGAUUGACUGGAUAUAUAAUGAUAAGACCGCCUUUCAGGUAUCCUGGUCCCAAACUAUAUAGGGCUUUAUACACCAAAACUAGAACCUUGAACUUAGCCUGGUAGCUAAUAGGUACCAGUGCAAUUCUUUCAAUAGCAGAGUGACAUGUUUGUGAUAACCUGCUCCAGUUAGCAGUCUUGCUGCCGCAUUUUGCACCAGCUGCAGCUUCCAUAUAAUCCUCAAGGGUAGCCCCACAUACAGCGCAUUACAGUAAUCCAAUCUGGAGGUUACCAGUGCAUGGACAACAGUGGUCAGGCUAUCACGGUCCAGAAACGGCCACAGCUGUCUUACCAUCCGAAACUGGUGAAAGGCACUCCUAGUCACUGAGGUCACCUGGGCCUUUAGCAACAAAGAUGGAUCCAGGAGCACCCCCAGACUACAGACCUGCACGUUCAGAGGAAGUACAACCCCAUCCAAAGCAGGCAACUGGCCAAUUACCUGAACUCGGGAGCCACCAACCCACAGCGUCUCCAUCUUCCUAGGAUUGACAGUCAAUGUAUUGGCCCUCAACCAGCCCACCACAGAGUCCAGGCACCAGUCCAGGGCUUGCACAGCCUCUCCUGAUUCAGAUGUUACAGAGAAAAAGAGCUGGGUAUCAUCAGCGUACUGCUGACACCUCACCCCAAAUCUCCUGAUGUCCGCUCCCAAGAGCUUCAUAUAGAUGUUAAACAGCAUGGGAGACAAGAUGGUAGCCUGCGGCAUCCCAUAGCACAACUGCCAGGAGGGGAAAUACAAUCGCCCAAUGCUAUUCUCUGAAAACAACCCUGGAGAUAGAAUCAGAACCACUGUAAAACAGUGCCAUCAAUACCCAUCUCACCAAGUCAGCUCAGAAGGAUAUUAUGGUCAAUGGUAUCAAAAGCUACCGAGAGACCAAGAAAGAAUAACAAGGUCACCCUCCCCCUCUCCUUCCGAAAAAGGUCAUCCAUCAGGGUGACCAAGGCCGAUUCAGUCCCAUAACCAGGCCUGAACUCAGACUGGGAUGGGUCAGGAUAAUCUGUUUCACCCAAGAGUACUUGCAAGUGCUGCACCACAACCCUCUCAAUCACCUUCCCUAAGAAGAGGAUAUUUGCGACUGGGCGGUAGUUGUCACAAACCAAUGGGUCCAGGAUGGGCUUCUUCAGGAGUGGUUGAAUCUUCGCCUCUUUCAGGGUGGCUAGAACGACUCCCUCCUGCAACAUUGUUCUACUGCUGGGUUUUGGUUGCAUUUUAUGCUUUUUCUGGGGUAAAUCUUAUUGAUAUAUUUGUUCUGAUGUAAAUCACAUUGAGAUAAUCCUUGACAAAAAAUGGACUACAAGAACGGCAAAUACAUAAAUAGAACAUAAAUAAUUAUCUCUUCUCCCCAAUUUUCUCUGCUUCUGUGACCAAUCUCUCACCAGUUGUUGCUGUUGAUUAAAUAAAAAAAUUAAUUUAUAUACCACCCUUCUUCCCAAAGGAGCUCUGAGUGGCAUCAUUGGUGAUCCCACCAUUGGUACUAAUGGGAGUAUUUCCCCCUAAAGCAGUAUAGAGGGCAAUUUGCAGCAGU